This 85-nucleotide ribosomal RNA is filed under the name Acinetobacter chinensis. Lineage: Bacteria; Pseudomonadati; Pseudomonadota; Gammaproteobacteria; Moraxellales; Moraxellaceae. The record is from RNAcentral.
GAUCCCUUCCCGAACUCAGAAGUGAAACCUCUUUGCGCUGAUGGUAGUGUGGGGUUACCCAUGUGAGAGUAAGUCAUCGCCAGCU